UAGGGAAUCCUCCACAAUGGGCGCAAGCCUGAUGGAGCAACACCGCGUGAGUGAAGAAGGGUUUCGGCUCGUAAAGCUCUGUUGUUAAAGAAGAACACGUAUGAGAGUAACUGUUCAUACGUUGACGGUAUUUAACCAGAAAGUCACGGCUAGCUACGUGCCGG
Molecule: ribosomal RNA, 164 nt
Filed under: uncultured bacterium
Lineage: Bacteria
Description: partial 16S rRNA
Rfam family: Bacterial small subunit ribosomal RNA
Source: RNAcentral